Molecule: long non-coding RNA, 555 nt
Organism: Cyprinodon variegatus (sheepshead minnow)
Lineage: Eukaryota; Metazoa; Chordata; Actinopteri; Cyprinodontiformes; Cyprinodontidae
Exons: 4
Source: RefSeq, a predicted model, not a curated record
AACUAACCAAAAAGGCAUUAACAGUAUAACAUGGAACUUAACAGUAUCGGAGACCCAAAACGAAAUCAGUUUCUCACAGUACGUUACAUUCACACUAUCAUCUGCCCUGGGGUUGCUUUUAUGUUGCACUGCAUUAGCUGUCUGCCUCUGUAGCGUAUCAUUUUGUCUAAGCAAGAAGAACAAAACCAGAGACCGAACCUGGAAUCUGAGUAACAGCAGUAUCUUUAGCUGCGCAGAGUAUACUGUUCAGCUUGGAGAAAAGGAAGCAAUUCCUUCACAUUCCAAAGCUAAACCAACACGGAAGAGAAUUGGUAAGGAAGAUCAAGCGGCAUCUCAAAUCACCUUAAGAAAAAAAAGCAGAAGAGAAACCUCUGAAUUAAAUAACAAAUAAAGAGCAAGAUCCAGUUUACAAAAUGAUACAUUUGUACAGAUUUACAAGCUCAAAGACUUUUAUAUAUAUUUAUAUAUAAAUAUUUCUGCUUUUGAUUUUCUUUUUUAUAUUGUGGAAAUGUAAAUGAAUUAUUACAUUCUGCUAUGUUUUUUUUUUUUUAUUAU